GGUUAAAACGCUCGUAGUUGGAUAUCUGCUAAGGGGUUCCGGUCCAUCCGAGUGAUGAAUACGCGGAACUCUUCUUGGCAUUUGUUCAGGGAACGUGUUUGCACUUUGUUGUGUGUCACAUGAUCUGGAUUUUUACUUUGAGGAAAUGAGAGUGUUUCAAGCAGGCUUUUGCCGUGAAUAUGAUAGCAUGGAAUAAUAGCAUAGGACCCCUUUCCAAAGCUGUUGGUUUCUGGAACGAGGUAAUCAAAAUAAGGAUAGUUGGGGGUAUUCGUAUUUAACUGUCAGAGGUGAAAUUCUUGGAUUUUUUAAGGACGAACUAUUGCGAAGGCAUCUGCCCAGGAUGUUUUUGUUGAUCAAGAACGAAAGUUAGGGGAUCGAAGACGAUCAGAUACCGUCCUAGUCUUAACCUUAAACUAUGCCGGCUGGAGAUUGGAGUCGUCAGAAUAGUGACGUCUUCAGCAUCCUGAGAGAAAUCGAAGUCUUUGGGUUCCGGGGGGAGUAUGGUCGCAAGGCUGAAACUUAAAGGAAUUGACGGAAGGCACCACCAGGAGUGGAGCCUGCGGCUUAAUUUGACUCAACACGGGGAAACUUACCAGGUCCAGACAUAGAUAGGAUUGACAGACUGAUAGCUCUUUCUUAAUUCUAUGGGU
RNAcentral lists this ribosomal RNA (650 nucleotides) under uncultured marine eukaryote. RNAcentral describes it as "SSU rRNA". It matches the Rfam family "Eukaryotic small subunit ribosomal RNA", at positions 617 to 1275 of the family's 1831-position model. The record is from RNAcentral.